RNAcentral lists this ribosomal RNA (229 nucleotides) under uncultured bacterium. Its description in RNAcentral is "partial 16S ribosomal RNA". It matches the Rfam family "Bacterial small subunit ribosomal RNA", at positions 15 to 235 of the family's 1533-position model. The record is from RNAcentral.
GAUCAUGGCUCAGGAUGAACGCUAGCUACAGGCUUAACACAUGCAAGUCGAGGGGCAGCAUGGUCUUAGCUUGCCAAGGCCGAUGGCGACCGGCGCACGGGUGAGUAACGCGUAUCCAACCUGCCUUACACUCUUGGACAGCCUUCUGAAAGGGAGAUUAAUACAAGAUGUUAUCAUGAGUAAGCAUUUUCGCAUGAUUAAAGGUUUGCCGGUGUAAGAUGGGGAUGCG